This 229-nucleotide long non-coding RNA is filed under the name Glycine max (soybean). Its description in RNAcentral is "long non-coding RNA (GMAX_LNC003805)". The record is from RNAcentral. Lineage: Eukaryota; Viridiplantae; Streptophyta; Magnoliopsida; Fabales; Fabaceae.
GGACCACGUUGUUGCACCCAUAUUUUUAGUUUGGACUUUGGACAAGGUGCCAAACUCAUCACUACCACCCAUUUAUUUAAUUUCAAAUUUGAGACAAUUCAACUUUCUGACAACAGCUAGGACAGAGAAAAAUCAUUAUUAUGACCAUGACAUGAGUACAAAAGUAUGAAGAUUUCGACUCUCACUUGUCUGGUAGUCAACAGAUCAAUAGGCGUGAGUUUGAAGCAAA